This 762-nucleotide ribosomal RNA is filed under the name uncultured bacterium. Its description in RNAcentral is "bacterial SSU rRNA". It matches the Rfam family "Bacterial small subunit ribosomal RNA", at positions 771 to 1532 of the family's 1533-position model. The record is from RNAcentral.
AACAGGAUUAGAUACCCUGGUAGUCCACGCCGUAAACGAUGUCGACUUGGAGGCUGUUCCCUUGAGGAGUGGCUUCCGGAGCUAACGCGUUAAGUCGACCGCCUGGGGAGUACGGCCGCAAGGUUAAAACUCAAAUGAAUUGACGGGGGCCCGCACAAGCGGUGGAGCAUGUGGUUUAAUUCGAUGCAACGCGAAGAACCUUACCUACUCUUGACAUCCAGAGAAUUUAGCAGAGAUGCUUUAGUGCCUUCGGGAACUCUGAGACAGGUGCUGCAUGGCUGUCGUCAGCUCGUGUUGUGAAAUGUUGGGUUAAGUCCCGCAACGAGCGCAACCCUUAUCCUUUGUUGCCAGCGCGUAAUGGCGGGAACUCAAAGGAGACUGCCGGUGAUAAACCGGAGGAAGGUGGGGAUGACGUCAAGUCAUCAUGGCCCUUACGAGUAGGGCUACACACGUGCUACAAUGGUGCAUACAAAGAGAAGCGACCUCGCGAGAGCAAGCGGACCUCAUAAAGUGCGUCGUAGUCCGGAUUGGAGUCUGCAACUCGACUCCAUGAAGUCGGAAUCGCUAGUAAUCGUAAAUCAGAAUGUUACGGUGAAUACGUUCCCGGGCCUUGUACACACCGCCCGUCACACCAUGGGAGUGGGUUGCAAAAGAAGUAGAUAGCUUAACCUUCGGGAGGGCGUUUACCACUUUGUGAUUCAUGACUGGGGUGAAGUCGUAACAAGGUAACCGUAGGGGAACCUGCGGCUGGAUCACCUCCUU